AAAGUCGGCCUGGCAAUCGCUGCGUGCGCAAGCACGGAGAGGAAAGUCCGGGCUCCGCAGGGCGGGAUGCCAGCUAACGGCUGGGCGCAGCAAGUCGCAAGACCCAAGGCGACGGAAAGUGCAACAGAAAGCAAACCGCCGAUGGCGCCGCGAGGCGCACAGGCAAGGGUGAAACGGUGGGGUAAGAGCCCACCGCGGACGUGGCAACAUGGACGGCACGGCAAACCCCAUCCGGAGCAAGACCAAAUAGGGAAGCCGAGGCGUGGCCCGCGCUGCUUCCGGGUAGGUUGCUUGAGCCUGCCGGUGACGGCAGGACUAGAUGAAUGAUUGCCGAACCCCGCAAGGGGAACAGAACCCGGCUUAUCGGCCGGCUUUCCAU
Molecule: RNase P RNA, 379 nt
Filed under: Dechloromonas sp.
Lineage: Bacteria; Pseudomonadati; Pseudomonadota; Betaproteobacteria; Rhodocyclales; Azonexaceae
Description: RNase P RNA component class A
Rfam family: Bacterial RNase P class A
About the family: Ribonuclease P (RNase P) is a ubiquitous endoribonuclease, found in archaea, bacteria and eukarya as well as chloroplasts and mitochondria. Its best characterised activity is the generation of mature 5'-ends of tRNAs by cleaving the 5'-leader elements of precursor-tRNAs. Cellular RNase Ps are ribonucleoproteins.
Source: RNAcentral